GGAGGAAAGUAGGGGAUCGCAAGACCUUGCGCUUUUGGAGCGGCCGAUGUCUGAUUAGCUAGUUGGUGAGGUAAAGGCUUACCAAGGCGUCGAUCAGUAGCUGGUCUGAGAGGACGACCAGCCACGCUGGGACUGAGACACGGCCCAGACUCCUACGGGAGGCAGCAGUGGGGAAUUUUGGACAAUGGGGGAAACCCUGAUCCAGCCAUGCCGCGUGAGUGAAGAAGGCCUUCGGGUUGUAAAGCUCUUUCAGCCGGAACGAAACGGUCACGGUUAAUACCCGUGACUACUGACGGUACCGGAAGAAGAAGCACCGGCUAACUACGUGCCAGCAGCCGCGGUAAUACGUAGGGUGCGAGCGUUAAUCGGAAUUACUGGGCGUAAAGCGUGCGCAGGCGGUUUUGUAAGUCAGAUGUGAAAUCCCCGGGCUUAACCUGGGAACUGCGUUUGAAACUACAAAGCUAG
Molecule: ribosomal RNA, 465 nt
Filed under: uncultured ammonia-oxidizing bacterium
Lineage: Bacteria
Description: bacterial SSU rRNA
Rfam family: Bacterial small subunit ribosomal RNA
Source: RNAcentral